AGAUGGNCAUGCGUUCCAUUAGCUUGUUGGUAAGGUAACGGCUUACCAAGGCAACGAUGGAUAGGGGGACUGAGAGGUUGACCCCCCACACUGGUACUGAGACACGGACCAGACUCCUACGGGAGGCAGCAGUGAGGAAUAUUGGUCAAUGGGCGCAAGCCUGAACCAGCCAAGUCGCGUGAAGGACGACGGUCCUAUGGAUUGUAAACUUCUUUUGUAGAGGAAUAAUGAUGGCCACGAGUGGCUGAAGGGAAUGUACUCUACGAAUAAGUAUCGGCUAACUCCGUGCCAGCAGCCGCGGUAAUACGGAGGAUACGAGCGUUAUCCGGAUUUAUUGGGUUUAAAGGGUGCGUAGGUGGCGAAUUAAGUCAGUGGUGAAAAGCUGCAGCUCAACUGUAGUCUUGCCGUUGAAACUGGUUUGCUUGAGAGGAGACGAGGUAUGCGGAAUGUGUGGUGUAGCGGUGAAAUGCAUAGAUAUCACACAGAACGCCGAUUGCGAAGGCAGCGUACCAGGCUCUGUCUGACACUGAAGCACGAAAGCGUGGGUAUCAAACAGGAUUAGAUACCCUGGUAGUCCACGCUGUAAACGAUGAAUACUAGAUUUUUGCGAUAUACAGUAAGAGUCUAAGCGAAAGCGAUAAGUAUUCCACCUGGGGAGUACGCCGGCAACGGUGAAACUCAAAGGAAUUGACGGGGGCCCGCACAAGCGGAGGAACAUGUGGUUUAAUUCGAUGAUACGCGAGGAACCUUACCUGGGAUUGAAAUUUAGGAGAACGAUUUAUGAAAGUAGAUUUUCCCUUCGGGGCUCCUAAGUAGGUGCUGCAUGGUUGUCGUCAGCUCGUGCCGUGAGGUGUCGGCUUAAGUGCCAUAACGAGCGCAACCCGCGUCGAUAGUUACUAACAGGUAAUGCUGAGGACUCUAUCGAGACAGCCGUCGUAAGACGAGAGGAAGGGGCGGAUGACGUCAAAUCAGCACGGCCCUUACAUCCAGGGCGACACACGUGUUACAAUGGCAAGGACAAAGGGAAGCCACAUAGCGAUAUGGAGCAGAUCCUCAAACCUUGUCCCAGUUCGGAUCGGAGUCUGCAACUCGACUCCGUGAAGCUGGAUUCGCUAGUAAUCGCGCAUCAGCCAUGGCGCGGUGAAUACGUUCCCGGGCCUUGUACACACCGCCCGUCAAGCCAUGGGAGUCGGGGGUACCUGAANAGUGUAACCGUAAGGAGCGCUUA
This 1228-nucleotide ribosomal RNA is filed under the name Porphyromonas gingivicanis. Its description in RNAcentral is "16S ribosomal RNA". It matches the Rfam family "Bacterial small subunit ribosomal RNA", at positions 223 to 1458 of the family's 1533-position model. The record is from RNAcentral. Lineage: Bacteria; Pseudomonadati; Bacteroidota; Bacteroidia; Bacteroidales; Porphyromonadaceae.